This is a long non-coding RNA of Solanum dulcamara, 1092 nucleotides long. RefSeq lists it as uncharacterized. The record is from RefSeq and is a predicted model, not a curated record. The transcript has 10 exons. NCBI's taxonomy places the organism in Eukaryota, Viridiplantae, Streptophyta, Magnoliopsida, Solanales, Solanaceae.
UAAAAGAGACACCACCUGGGCACUUUAGAACUCCCCACCAUCAUAUUACGGAAGUCAUACGCUACCGGCGCAUCUUAGAGUACGCCACCGGAUUGCUGAUCUUAACUGUUCCGGUGACGAUGUCCGAUCAAAGCCCUAAAUCAAUUUUCCCGGUGAUCAUCUUCUCAAAUGUUCAGUGGUUACUUUCAUCUUCUGUUAUGCUUCCGGUUCAUCUGGCCCUUCUAACUAUGGGUUCGAAUGCUUGCUUUACACUAGCAACAUCAAAAUACUGCAAUUUAGAUGAUAUAUAUGUUUUCCCAGCAAGCUUUGCCCUAAAGGAGAGGCUGGCAAGUGUUUGCACCUUGGAAUUGAUGAUUGUAGACAAGAUGUUGGUAAAAUAGUCAUUGUUCGUGAUGUAUUUUACAACCAACCAGUUCGAAGGAAGCAAAUGCACUCCAACCCAAAGAGGGUCUUGCAUUCUAUGAAGUGUCUCUGCUAAGAAUCGCCCUUGUGCAUCCCAAUGUCUCAUACAAUUUUGUUGAUAUUGAUAGAUAUCAAUUCAAGAUUUGCUUCCAAAGGACCAAUACAUAAAUUACUUAAUAACAUAGUGAUGAGCAGCGAAGUCGAUCUCAGUUGUAUCCACUGUUUUAUUGAACCUAAACUGCCCAAGAUCUUUAUAUGAUUUGACUUUGGAGCCUUCAAUGACCUCUGUGGAAUUUAAGGAUCUGGUGUCUCAUGAGAUGGACUGGUGCUGAUGGGAAAAAGCUAUGCUACAUCAAAAUAGAACCAUUCAGAUUAUAUGUACGCCUCCCCAGCAAGCUUUGGCUUUGAAGGAGAUGCUCUGAGCUUUAUUUCGGACGUUUCCUUGUUGGAAAUUGUUACUAAAACUCACGGGAGGCCAAAUGGAUAUCGUAAGGUUUUGAAGACAAAAUGUUGGUACAACAGUCAUUGUUCGUGAUGUUAGUGAUGUAUUUUACAACCAACCAGUUCGAAGGAAGCAAAUACACUCCCAAGUACUUCUAGUUUUCUCAAAAUUCAAACAAAUAAAUAAUUUUGAUUUACAUACUUCUUAAGCUGUAUUCUUUCCUGAUUGAUCUUUUGGUUUGCAUAUAU